RNAcentral lists this ribosomal RNA (409 nucleotides) under Verrucomicrobiota bacterium. RNAcentral describes it as "Verrucomicrobia bacterium partial 16S ribosomal RNA". It matches the Rfam family "Bacterial small subunit ribosomal RNA", at positions 355 to 776 of the family's 1533-position model. Lineage: Bacteria; Pseudomonadati; Verrucomicrobiota. The record is from RNAcentral.
UGGGGAAUAUUGCACAAUGGGCGGAAGCCUGAUGCAGCGACGCCGCGUGAGGGAUGACGGCCUUCGGGUUGUAAACCUCUUUCAGUAGGGACGAAGCGUAAGUGACGGUACCUGCAGAAGAAGCACCGGCUAACUACAUGCCAGCAGCCGCGGUAAUACGUAGGGUGCGAGCGUUGUCCGGAAUUACUGGGCGUAAAGAGCUCGUAGGCGGUUUGUCACGUCGUCUGUGAAAUCCUAGGGCUUAACCCUGGACGUGCAGGCGAUACGGGCUGACUUGAGUACUACAGGGGAGACUGGAAUUUCUGGUGUAGCGGUGGAAUGCACAGAUAUCAGGAAGAACACCGAUGGCGAAGGCAGGUCUCUGGGUAGUAACUGACGCUGAGGAGCGAAAGCAUGGGUAGCGAACAGG